AUAUACCCAGCAAUGGGAAUAGAGAACUUGGGCUGAGCAUCUCUCUGUAGUUGUGAAGAGGAGCAAGAAUGGACAGUCUUGGCUAUGCAUGAUGCAAAUGUGUCUCUGCAUUUUAUACAACAGAUUUCACACAACAAUGGCAAGAACAAUGGAUACAUCAGUUACCUGGGAUUUUGAGAGGAUGAAGUCAGAAGAUUGUGGCAGAGGUGACAGAAAGUAUACUUUAAUCCAAAAGAUGAUGGAUACAACUGAAACUCUUACACAUGGGAAUAAGGGGAGGAAGCCACCAGAGUUUGAAUUCUUAGAAAUGCCCAAAGUGGCCUGGAGUCAAGGGGUUUUGCCAUCUUGCCAGCAGGGGAAAGUGGACCCAAGAGGUCAGCAAUUCUUUGGGAAGAAACUAUUAUAAGGCACAUUGGGCAUCUGCCCUUCAGUGCUUUCUGACUGAUGCUUUAUGACAGAAAGCACCUCCCAGUCCUGUGAAUAUUCUCAGCACUUUGGACCGAGGUAUGCAUUUCUUCUCCCUGCUGUUCCCAGCCAGAAGAGCUAUGUUUGGAGGCAGGGGCAGCCUACCUGGCUUGUCCCUGGCCCCACCCGGCCAACAGGAUAGAGCUUCUAUUUCGGUGGUAAUUAAUACCAUCCUUGUGACAAGGCAGUUUCACAGUGUUGCAAUCUCUGUCAUCUGUACCGGAGCCUAAAUCAACAAGUUGGCUGACUCUAACUCCUUCCUUUACCAAGUCAUUAGCUCCAGGAUGCUACCCAGAUGCCAUCACUGGAUCAACCACUGACAUUCCCCACUGGUGAUUCCCUUGUGUCAUUUUCUCCGGACAGUUGUGUAAAGAGCCCUGGGAAGGUUGAAAGGCAAGUCGGAGGAGGAAGUGGGAGGGAGGAGGUCGUUCACCUCUUUUCAUUCAGGCCAAAUACAAUAAUACACCCCUAGUGCUGGGAGAUAAUGAAAAACCAUCUCAGUGAGAAACUCGCCUCCAUUUAAAAAUGAUAUCUUCAAUCAUAUGUGACUAGAGGGCAAGAGGGAGGAGCUGUAGAAACCAUCAGAGGCUGGAAAGAUUUCAGGGUAUCUGGGUUCAUUUCCUAUCUUUUCUUAUUAUUACCCAAGUGACCUUGGGCAAUUUUUUUAUGUCUUUGGGCCUCAGUUUUGUUAUCUGUAAAAUGAGAGCAUUUGGCCCAGAUGUCUUCUAAGUUCCUUUCUUGCUCCAGAACUUUUAACCCCAUGACCUUGAUACUGAACCAGUCCUAUUGGUAGCCUAAUAUGUUGUUUUUUUAAGCCCUUACCUUUUAU
This is a long non-coding RNA of Monodelphis domestica (gray short-tailed opossum), 1294 nucleotides long. The record is from Ensembl. Lineage: Eukaryota; Metazoa; Chordata; Mammalia; Didelphimorphia; Didelphidae.